This is a long non-coding RNA of Onychostoma macrolepis, 290 nucleotides long. RefSeq lists it as uncharacterized. The record is from RefSeq and is a predicted model, not a curated record. The transcript has 3 exons. NCBI's taxonomy places the organism in Eukaryota, Metazoa, Chordata, Actinopteri, Cypriniformes, Cyprinidae.
GGUUCCUUGCCAAACUGGUUCGACCGUUGAAGUCAGACAAAUUCUUUAUGUCUAAUGACCAAGUUCAUCUGGAGGUGGCAAUCAAAGCACUUGAAUCUCAGGGCGAUGACCCCCAGUGUGAAUCCAGAUAUGCAGCGAAGUGACUACGGCAGGACUGUCUCAUAUCCCAUUGACCCAGAAACUUCAUCCAAGCCAAUUAAGGUUCAAGUUUGUGGAUAUUAUCGUCUGCAACGUCGAGGGUGUAUUUUGGAGCCAUGGUUAUGGUGAUUACAUCAGCUGUUUGUGGUCUG